AGAAGAAGUGAGUCCAGAUGGGGAGAUUGAAGUUUCAAAGCCAAAAGUUAAUAUGAAACUGGUUCUCAUUUUUGGUCUGUGGUAUUUUCAGAACAUUGUGUUUAACAUAUUUAACAAGAAGGUAUUGAACAUCUUCCCUUAUCCAUGGCUUCUUGCUUCUUUCCAGCUGUUUUGUGGUGCUGUUUGGAUGUUAAUUCUGUGGUCU
RNAcentral lists this unclassified non-coding RNA (205 nucleotides) under Hevea brasiliensis (rubber tree). The record is from RNAcentral. Lineage: Eukaryota; Viridiplantae; Streptophyta; Magnoliopsida; Malpighiales; Euphorbiaceae.